AGAGCGAACGCUGGCGGCAGGCCUAACACAUGCAAGUCGAGCGCCCGUAGCAAUACGGGAGCGGCAGACGGGAUAGUAACACGUGGGAACGCGCCCUUCGGUUCGGAAUAACUCAGGGAAACUUGAGCUAAUACCGAAUACGCCCUUACGGGGAAAGAUUUAUUGCCGAAGGAACGGCCCGCGUCCGAUUAGCUAGUUGGUGAGGUAAUGGCUCACCAAGGCUACGAUCGGUAGCUGGUCUGAGAGGAUGACCAGCAUCACUGGGACUGAGACACGGCCCAGAUUCCUACGGGAGGCAGCAGUGGGGAAUAUGGACAAUGGGCGCAAGCCUGAUCCAGCCAUGCCGCGUGGAUGAUGAAGGCCUUAGGGUUGUAAAGUCCUUUUAACGGGGAAGAUAAUGACGGUACCCGUAGAAUAAGCCCCGGCUAACUUCGUGCCAGCAGCCGC
Molecule: ribosomal RNA, 447 nt
Filed under: uncultured bacterium
Lineage: Bacteria
Description: SSU rRNA
Rfam family: Bacterial small subunit ribosomal RNA
Source: RNAcentral